CCCUUAGAUGUUCUGGGCCGCACGCGCGCUACACUGACGAUGGCAACGAGUUUUUCCUUCGCCGAAAGGUGUGGGUAAUCUUUUGAAACAUCGUCGUGCUGGGGAUAGAUCAUUGCAAUUUUUGAUCUUGAACGAGGAAUUCCUAGUAAGCGCGAGUCAUCAGCUCGCGUUGAUUACGUCCCUGCCCUUUGUACACACCGCCCGUCGCUACUACCGAUUGAAUGGUUUAGUGAGGACUCCUGAUUGGCGCCGCCGCCCCGGCAACGGAGCAGCGGAAUGCCGAAAAGUUGUUCAAACUUGAUCAUUUAGAGGAAGUAAAAGUCGUAACA
This 329-nucleotide ribosomal RNA is filed under the name uncultured eukaryote. RNAcentral's name for it is "partial 18S ribosomal RNA". It matches the Rfam family "Eukaryotic small subunit ribosomal RNA", at positions 1470 to 1796 of the family's 1831-position model. The record is from RNAcentral.